GGGAGGCAGCAGUGGGGAAUAUUGCACAAUGGGCGCAAGCCUGAUGCAGCCAUGCCGCGUGUGUGAAGAAGGCCUUCGGGUUGUAAAGCACUUUCAGCGGGGAGGAAGGCGAUAAGGUUAAUAACCUUGUCGAUUGACGUUACCCGCAGAAGAAGCACCGGCUAACUCCGUGCCAGCAGCCGCGGUAAUACGGAGGGUGCAAGCGUUAAUCGGAAUUACUGGGCGUAAAGCGCACGCAGGCGGUCUGUCAAGUCGG
This 256-nucleotide ribosomal RNA is filed under the name Klebsiella pneumoniae. RNAcentral describes it as "partial 16S ribosomal RNA". It matches the Rfam family "Bacterial small subunit ribosomal RNA", at positions 343 to 591 of the family's 1533-position model. The record is from RNAcentral. Lineage: Bacteria; Pseudomonadati; Pseudomonadota; Gammaproteobacteria; Enterobacterales; Enterobacteriaceae.